RNAcentral lists this ribosomal RNA (482 nucleotides) under uncultured bacterium. RNAcentral describes it as "partial 16S ribosomal RNA". It matches the Rfam family "Bacterial small subunit ribosomal RNA", at positions 30 to 507 of the family's 1533-position model. The record is from RNAcentral.
AUUGAACGCUGGCGGCAUGCUUUACACAUGCAAGUCGAACGGUAACAGGCCGCAAGGUGCUGACGAGUGGCGAACGGGUGAGUAAUGCAUCGGAACGUGCCCAGUCGUGGGGGAUAACUACUCGAAAGAGUAGCUAAUACCGCAUACGAUCUAUGGAUGAAAGCGGGGGACCGUAAGGCCUCGCGCGAUUGGAGCGGCCGAUGUCAGAUUAGGUAGUUGGUGGGGUAAAGGCUCACCAAGCCAACGAUCUGUAGCUGGUCUGAGAGGACAACCAGCCACACUGGGACUGAGACACGGCCCAGACUCCUACGGGAGGCAGCAGUGGGGAAUGUUGGACAAUGGGCGCAAGCCUGAUCCAGCAAUGCCGCGUGCAGGAAGAAGGCCUUCGGGUUGUAAACUGCUUUUGUACGGAACGAAACGGCUCUGGUUAAUACCCGGGGCUAAUGACGGUACCGGAAGAAUAAGCACCGGCUAACUACGUG